RNAcentral lists this ribosomal RNA (470 nucleotides) under uncultured bacterium. RNAcentral describes it as "bacterial SSU rRNA". It matches the Rfam family "Bacterial small subunit ribosomal RNA", at positions 44 to 507 of the family's 1533-position model. The record is from RNAcentral.
AUGCCUUACACAUGCAAGUCGAACGGCAGCACGGGAGCAAGUCCUGGUGGCGGAGUGGCGAACGGGUGAGUAAUAUAUCGGAACGUGCCCAGUCGUGGGGGAUAACGUAGCGAAAGCUACGCUAAUACCGCAUACGAUCUAUGGAUGAAAGCGGGGGAUCGCAAGACCUCGCGCGAUUGGAGCGGCCGAUAUCAGAUUAGGUAGUUGGUGAGGUAAAGGCUCACCAAGCCGACGAUCUGUAGCUGGUCUGAGAGGACGACCAGCCACACUGGGACUGAGACACGGCCCAGACUCCUACGGGAGGCAGCAGUGGGGAAUUUUGGACAAUGGGCGCAAGCCUGAUCCAGCAAUGCCGCGUGCAGGAUGAAGGCCUUCGGGUUGUAAACUGCUUUUGUACGGAACGAAACGGUGAGCUCUAAUACAGUUUGCUAAUGACGGUACCGUAAGAAUAAGCACCGGCUAACUACGUG